CUUGCUCUUCUGGAUGAGUUGCGAACGGGUGAGUAACGCGUAGGUAACCUGCCUGGUAGCGGGGGAUAACUAUUGGAAACGAUAGCUAAUACCGCAUAACAGCAAAUGUUGCAUGACAUUUGCUUAAAAGAUGCAAUUGCAUCACUACCAGAUGGACCUGCGUUGUAUUAGCUAGUUGGUGGGGUAACGGCUCACCAAGGCGACGAUACAUAGCCGACCUGAGAGGGUGAUCGGCCACACUGGGACUGAGACACGGCCCAGACUCCUACGGGAGGCAGCAGUAGGGAAUCUUCGGCAAUGGACGGAAGUCUGACCGAGCAACGCCGCGUGAGUGAAGAAGGUUUUCGGAUCGUAAAGCUCUGUUGUAAGAGAAGAACGAGUGUGAGAGUGGAAAGUUCACACUGUGACGGUAUCUUACCAGAAAGGGACGGCUAACUACGUGCCAGCAGCCGCGGUAAUACGUAGGUCCCGAGCGUUGUCCGGAUUUAUUGGGCGUAAAGCGAGCGCAGGCGGUUAGAUAAGUCUGAAGUUAAAGGCUGUGGCUUAACCAUAGUACGCUUUGGAAACUGUUUAACUUGAGUGCAAGAGGGGAGAGUGGAAUUCCAUGUGG
This 610-nucleotide ribosomal RNA is filed under the name bacterium. RNAcentral describes it as "bacterial SSU rRNA". It matches the Rfam family "Bacterial small subunit ribosomal RNA", at positions 79 to 676 of the family's 1533-position model. The record is from RNAcentral.